This is a long non-coding RNA of Engraulis encrasicolus (European anchovy), 1662 nucleotides long. RefSeq lists it as uncharacterized. The record is from RefSeq and is a predicted model, not a curated record. Lineage: Eukaryota; Metazoa; Chordata; Actinopteri; Clupeiformes; Engraulidae. The transcript is spliced from 3 exons.
ACUGUUGCCCCAAUUGAUGCCCUGGAUCGGUCCAAACAUGUGCACCGCACUAUGCUGAAACCUCAUCGUGGCCCCGAACCUGUGAGCGAUCCACCGCUCCCUACUCCGACUGGGAGGGCCCCCCAGGAGGAUUCUAUGGAGGACAUUGGGUUGUUGAUGGCUCCUGGGCCUAGUAGAAAUCCUCUGGCCUUACCUCCCGCACCGGCGACAGUUUCUUUGUUACCGCCUCCUGCUACUGUUAGUCCCAGUGGGCCUUCCCAACCAUGUGACCGCGACCAGCUCCAACUGUCGCCUGCUGAGUCGGGGAUGGACUCGCUAGCGCUUCCAUGUUCUCCGUCUCGCAAUCAGGGUGGUCCCCCCUUGGACCAAGGCAGUGAUGAACCCAUGGUCACCUCCUCCGAGGGGCCCCUUGAAGGUCCUUCUCUGGAGGAUGAAUCGCUAUUACCCACCCAAUCCAACGACUGUACCAGUGGAGUACGAAGAACUGCUCGAGCAACCGCAGGUCAGCACUCUAACCCUCACCAUCUUCCAUGUCCAGCAGGAGGCGCCGUUUGAAGGAGUCAUAGUAUUUACGCAGGGAAGUGUUUCAUCGCCGGGACGUCGAUGCAAAUCCCAGGGGUAGAUUGUAGCAAAGUGGGCUUUGACGUUCCUUUUUCAUUUGCGGUGCGUGCGUCAUCACGUCACACCGACCUAUCAGCUGAUCUCACAGCUGAUUUCAUUCCAGCUGAGACGCCGGCUUUUGGCAAGCUAGGAGGAAUAGCUGUCGGUCAACGUGCUUUCCUUUGUCCAUCCAAACGUGCAUUCUGGUCUACUCUUUGCACUCCGAUCUGUUGCCAAAUUCAACUUGGCGUGACACGCUCUCCGCCUCGUACAAGUGUAUCUACCGGUGCCAUCAGCUGUUUGUUGGCUACCCUGUUCAUCUACCAAAGCUCCGAGAGCUCUCUCCUUCUGGCUCAGGUAGGCCACCCAAAUGACGCCACACGUUCGCUAAAGUUUUGAUUUGUUUGACUCGGGUCUAACCGAUGAUGUAUUUUGUUGUAGCGUGGGUUUGAGUUUCCUCUGACUCGUCGGCCUUUAUUGUCUCCCUCCUCGCCUCCUCUGCUGUUGUGGAACGCGCCUGGGUGUAGCUGCAGACUCCCGGUUCGCUCUGAAUUGCUGCUGUUUUGUCCCCCCUCGAUACGUGCUUCGGACUGACGCGUCGCAGUGUCCGGUCAUCCGAGGGCUAUCACUCCGAAAGCAUUCAGCAGCCCAGCAUAAGUUAACUUGCGCAGGUGGCGCAUGUGGCCGAGUUCAGUGUGUGCGUGAAUGUAGUCUGUGUGCAGGUAAUCCCAGAGGGAGGUCCUCUUCCCCCCUGGUGGUGGGUCCGGUCACGUGGUGUGCAGUGAAUUGCAGUGCAGUGCAGUGUUACCUGUGUGUGAGUGCAAUAAUUCACCUUCACUUAGUGUGUGCAUGGGCACGAGUGUUUGUGUGUACUUAUCCAAGACCUAUACAGGGGGCUUAGUAUAAUUCCCCCCUCUUGGGUGCACCUGCCCUGUAAUUGAGAACCCUCCCUUUUGUACUGAUUUGUGUGAGUGUGUAUGUGAGUGUGAGUGUGUGUGUGCAUUGUGGUGGGAAAUAUUUUAAACUGUCCGGAUUUUUAUAUUUAUAUGUGAAAUUGUUAAU